Molecule: ribosomal RNA, 301 nt
Filed under: uncultured bacterium
Lineage: Bacteria
Description: partial 16S ribosomal RNA
Rfam family: Bacterial small subunit ribosomal RNA
Source: RNAcentral
CAGCCGCCACGGUAAUACGUAGGGGGCAAGCGUUAUCCGGAAUUACUGGGUGUAAAGGGAGCGUAGACGGUUAAACAAGUCUGAAGUGAAAUGCCGGGGCUCAACCCCGGAGCUGCUUUGGGAACUGUAGAACUGGAGUGUCGGAGGGGUAAGCGGAAUUCCCAGUGUAGCGGUGAAAUGCGUAGAUAUUGGGAGGAACACCGGCGGCGAAGGCGGCUUACUGGACGACAACUGACGUUGAGGCUCGAAGGCGUGGGUAGCAAACAGGAUUAGAUACCCCAGUAGUCCCUGUCUCUUAUAC